CAGCAGCCGCGGGAAUACGGAGGGUGCAAGCGUUAUCCGGAUUCACUGGGUUUAAAGGGUGCGUAGGCGGAUCUGUAAGUCAGUGUUGAAAUCUCCAGGCUUAACCUGGAAACUGCCGUUGAUACUAUAGGUCUUGAAUUUUGUGGAGGUUAGCGGAAUAUGUCAUGUAGCGGUGAAAUGCAUAGAUAUGACAUAGAACACCAAUUGCGAAGGCAGCUGGCUACACAACUAUUGACGCUGAGGCACGAAAGCGUGGGGAUCAAACAGGAUUAGAUACCCGUGUAGUCCCUGUCUCUUAUAC
RNAcentral lists this ribosomal RNA (301 nucleotides) under uncultured bacterium. RNAcentral describes it as "partial 16S ribosomal RNA". It matches the Rfam family "Bacterial small subunit ribosomal RNA", at positions 509 to 807 of the family's 1533-position model. The record is from RNAcentral.